Molecule: ribosomal RNA, 400 nt
Filed under: uncultured bacterium
Lineage: Bacteria
Description: bacterial SSU rRNA
Rfam family: Bacterial small subunit ribosomal RNA
Source: RNAcentral
GAAUAUUGGACAAUGGGGGAAACCCUGAUCCAGCCAUGCCGCGUGAGUGAGGAAGGCCUUAGGGUUGUAAAGCUCUUUCACCCGUGACGAUGAUGACGGUAGCGGGAGAAGAAGCCCCGGCUAACUCCGUGCCAGCAGCCGCGGUAAGACGGAGGGGGCUAGCGUUGUUCGGAAUUACUGGGCGUAAAGCGGGCGUAGGCGGCCGGUCAAGUUAGGCGUGAAAGGCCUGGGCUCAACCUGGGAACGGCGCUUAAGACUGAUCGGCUGGAGUCCGGGAGAGGGUGGUGGAAUUCCCAGUGUAGAGGUGAAAUUCGUAGAUAUUGGGAGGAACACCGGUGGCGAAGGCGGCCACCUGGCCCGGCACUGACGCUGAGGCGCGAAAGCGUGGGGAGCAAACAGG